Camellia sinensis is the source of this 1350-nucleotide non-coding RNA. The record is from RefSeq and is a predicted model, not a curated record. Lineage: Eukaryota; Viridiplantae; Streptophyta; Magnoliopsida; Ericales; Theaceae.
CCCUGCCUUUGUUGAAAAUUGUGUAAGUGUGCAAAACUGAAAAUGGGGGGUUCAAAAGGGAGACUGCGGCAGCAGCAAGAUUUCAACUUGGAAACGUUGCUCUCUCUUUGGCGGUGAGACUGCUUGGGCAGCGGCGGCGACGAUUGACGGUUCGAAAGGGAAGGGUUUCGUUCUCUUCUCUUCGAUCUGAAAAAAUAUCAGUUCGAUUCUAAGGUACAUCCAGCCACAAGUUCGAUUGCUUGUCGAGUGCUCGACUUUCGCGGCGGAACGUCACAGGAGUUUGUUAUUUUUCUUUUUUGGGUACAUGCUGGUCUGAUGCUGAUGGCUAUUGCUUGCCAGUCUGCUGCAGCUGCUGAUCUAUUGUUGCUGCUGGUUUGAAUCUUCGGACUGAUUUCAAUUUUCUCUACCAAUUUACAGAGACUAAAACUACAAUGACAACCAACUGAAAGAGAUAAAAUAAAGAAAAAAUAGAUUAGAGUAAUUCCCUCAUUACUUUUCCCCUGCUUUCUUAUCAAUCAUAUACCAGCACUUAACCCAAGAUUGGAGAGGAUCCCAUCAACUAGCCAAUAAAGAGAAAUAAAACAGUAGAAACAACAUAGUACACCAAGGUAAAAUAAUCCCCAAAGCUACAAAUAAACACCCAAGGCCCUACACAGCUCUGUAGCAGCAGCAGCAACUGGCAGCAGCUCUAUAUCUGUAAACAUUAGCACAUCUAGUAGCAAUAGCAACUUGGUUACAUUAAGAGUUUGGAGAAUUAAAUAAUGUUGUGAAUGUUAGGGUUAUGUUGCAAGUACCUUUGGUGUGGUGUAUAUUUCUUUGAUACCUUGGAGAGAGAAAAAGAUUUUAAAAAAUACAUGUUAAAUGAAUGAAUGUGCUUGAUAAUCUUAUAAGAUUGAGAAUUGUUCAGUUUAUUCCUCUUAUAUGGAUUAUGCAUUUAUGCUUGUAAGUCAUUUUAUAACUUGCUUACAUAAGGAGUAUUUUGGGUAAAUUGAUGGUCAUAGUCCCUUUUCUUUUCUUUUCCUUCAUUAGAAUUAAAGAGACUCGUAAAAAGAAUUUGGAGGACUCCUCAUAGUUGAAGAAAGUAUAGGGCUCCUAUUUUAGCUAGUGAAGCAGCACUGUUAUUAGGGCCUGAAUAACAUUGUGGCCAAGACAUUAUACAUGUCUAAGAUUUGCAUAACUUCAUUUUCUGGUUCUGAAAUUGUUAAUCAUAUUUACGUUGCUAUAUUAUGAUUGUGUUUAUUCAAGAAAGAUUCAACCAUACACUGUCAUCUAUAUUCUUUUCUAUCAGAGACAAAAUGAAAAUUUUCUCUAUUCCCUUUUUUAACUGUUGUUAUAAACUUUAAAUACUUG